UUUCCGGGUGGAUCUGCCGGAGGCCAUUGCUAUGGGGAUCCGAUUUAGACAUGCUAGUCGCACGAGUUAGACUCGUGGCAGAUAGCUCAGUAACACGUGGCCAAACUACCCUCUGGACGAGAAUAUCCUCGGGAAACUGAGGCUAAUACUCAAAACACUCCUGUCCUGGAAUGGGCGGAGAGCCAAACGCUCCGGCGCCAGAGGCUGUGGCUGCGGCCGAUUAGGUAGACGGUGGGGUAACGGCCCACCGUGCCAGUAAUCGGUACGGGUUGUGAGAGCAAGAGCCCGGAGACGGUAUCUGAGACAAGAUACCGGGCCCUACGGGGCGCAGCAGGCGCGAAACCUUUACACUGCACGACAGUGCGAUAAGGGGAUCCCCAGUGCGAGGGCAUACAGUCCUCGCUUUUCACCACCGUACGAUGGUGGUGGAACAAGAGCUGGGCAAGACCGGUGCCAGCCGCCGCGGUAAUACCGGCAGCUCGAGUGAUGGCCGUUCUUAUUGGGCCUAAAGCGUCCGUAGCCGGCCACGCAAGUUCGUCGGGAAAUCCACACGCUCAACGUGUGGGCGUCCGGCGAAACCUGCGUGGCUUGGGACCGGACGGCCCGAGGGGUACGGCCGGGGUAGGAGUGAAAUCCUGUAAUCCCGGCCGGACCACCGGUGGCGAAAGCGCCUCGGGAGGACGGAUCCGACGGUGAGGGACGAAAGCCAGGGUCACGAACCGGAUUAGAUACCCGGGUAGUCCUGGCCGUAAACGAUGCCCGUUAGGUGGGCGUAGGCUACGAGCCUACGCUGUGCCGCAGUGAAGACGCUAAACGGGCCGCCUGGGAA
Molecule: ribosomal RNA, 829 nt
Filed under: Natronoarchaeum sp.
Lineage: Archaea; Methanobacteriati; Methanobacteriota; Halobacteria; Halobacteriales; Natronoarchaeaceae
Description: bacterial SSU rRNA
Rfam family: Archaeal small subunit ribosomal RNA
Source: RNAcentral